GACGAACUCUGGCGGCGUGCUUAACACAUGCAAGUCGAACGGAAAGGCCCUGCUUUUGUGGGGUGCUCGAGUGGCGAACGGGUGAGUAACACGUGAGUAACCUGCCCUUGACUUUGGGAUAACUUCAGGAAACUGGGGCUAAUACCGGAUAGGAGCUCCUGCUGCAUGGUGGGGGUUGGAAAGUUUCGGCGGUUGGGGAUGGACUCGCGGCUUAUCAGCUUGUUGGUGGGGUAGUGGCUUACCAAGGCUUUGACGGGUAGCCGGCCUGAGAGGGUGACCGGCCACAUUGGGACUGAGAUACGGCCCAGACUCCUACGGGAGGCAGCAGUGGGGAAUAUUGCACAAUGGGCGGAAGCCUGAUGCAGCAACGCCGCGUGCGGGAUGACGGCCUUCGGGUUGUAAACCGCUUUCGCCUGUGACGAAGCGUGAGUGACGGUAAUGGGUAAAGAAGCACCGGCUAACUACGUGCCAGCAGCCGCGGUGAUACGUAGGGUGCGAGCGUUGUCCGGAUUUAUUGGGCGUAAAGGGCUCGUAGGUGGUUGAUCGCGUCGGAAGUGUAAUCUUGGGGCUUAACCCUGAGCGUGCUUUCGAUACGGGUUGACUUGAGGAAGGUAGGGGAGAAUGGAAUUCCUGGUGGAGCGGUGGAAUGCGCAGAUAUCAGGAGGAACACCAGUGGCGAAGGCGGUUCUCUGGGCCUUUCCUGACGCUGAUGUGCGAAAGCGUGGGGAUCAAACAGGAUUAGAUACCCUGGUAGUCCACGCCGUAAACGAUGAGUGCUAAGUGUUAGGGGGUUUCCGCCCCUUAGUGCUGCAGCUAACGCAUUAAGCACUCCGCCUGGGGAGUACGACCGCAAGGUUGAAACUCAAAGGAAUUGACGGGGACCCGCACAAGCGGUGGAGCAUGUGGUUUAAUUCGAAGCAACGCGAAGAACCUUACCAAAUCUUGACAUCCUUUGACAACUCUAGAGAUAGAGCCUUCCCCUUCGGGGGACAAAGUGACAGGUGGUGCAUGGUUGUCGUCAGCUCGUGUCGUGAGAUGUUGGGUUAAGUCCCGCAACGAGCGCAACCCUUAAGCUUAGUUGCCAUCAUUAAGUUGGGCACUCUAAGUUGACUGCCGGUGACAAACCGGAGGAAGGUGGGGAUGACGUCAAAUCAUCAUGCCCCUUAUGAUUUGGGCUACACACGUGCUACAAUGGACAAUACAAAGGGCAGCGAAACCGCGAGGUCAAGCAAAUCCCAUAAAGUUGUUCUCAGUUCGGAUUGUAGUCUGCAACUCGACUACAUGAAGCUGGAAUCGCUAGUAAUCGUAGAUCAGCAUGCUACGGUGAAUACGUUCCCGGGUCU
RNAcentral lists this ribosomal RNA (1343 nucleotides) under uncultured bacterium. RNAcentral describes it as "bacterial SSU rRNA". It matches the Rfam family "Bacterial small subunit ribosomal RNA", at positions 28 to 1381 of the family's 1533-position model. The record is from RNAcentral.